ACAGAAUCCACGCGCCUGGAGCAAGCAGACGAAAGAGGCACACAUUGAUGCUGGACUCCACCUGUUCACAUAACGUGCAGCUGUGUAACGAACGUACAUCUCAUUCAGCUUUACUCCACACACCAGUCCCCUUGUUUCCAUAAUACAUGUAGUACCCCCCCCUUCUUGGAGCAUUGAUGAAGGAUCAGGCAAGAUGACAGUCCGUUCGUGGAAUCAAGAGGGCCGCAUCUUACAUCCUUGAGAAUUGGACGAAGACAAGAAAAAGGGGCACUUGUUGGCAAGUGGAUAGAAGCAGCGAUGGUUGUGAGAGUGGAAGGAACAUGUGCUGUCUGUCCAGGAGAAGUCUGUCUUCCGCAGUGACCCGCUGAUGCCUGACUGUAGUGUGACAUGAUUGAGUAUCCUGACUCGUCUACCUCUUUGCCUGCAGUACUAGUGAAUGUCCUGACGCUGACACCCUACGGCACCUGUUGGAAUCACAACACAUCACCUGAUAUGCACUAUGCAAGUUGAGGUUAACAGCUAAGUGCUGCAUUUACAGUGGUCCGCCAUCUUGAAGAAUCAAUUUUUUUGAUGAAGAUGUGCGGGCAAAAAACAUCAGCGAGGCCCAAGCGGUCCCUGUCUGCCACGGCUUCCCUCGACAAACGUAGAUAGCACAAGCCAGAUGCUACAACACUCAGAGAUUAGAUUUGCAGAAAAAAGUGUACAGAAUAUCUUCUGAUGGUAAACAUGGUUUAAGGCUUUUUGUCGUGUUUGAAACAGUUUUAGGCUUUUGGGAACAGGGAAUACGAGUAGAUGUUUUUCACUGAACAUGCACAACUUCUUUUUACACAACAAACCCAUAUACACGUAGAACUGCUUUUCAGGGCUUAAUUUUGUCUGCAGAGAAGGAAAUCAAGCAUGUUUUAAGUUACUUUUGCUGUCAUGUCUGAGGAAAAAAAAAUUACAUAGCAUUAGACAAAUUGUUCACUCAACUGGAGACAUUUCAAAAUGUCCGUCAUACGUACUGUUCAUGAUGGCACAAAGUAAUCACCGUCGUCCCUUUAAUUAACCUGUGAAAUAGGACUUUUACAUUCUUGAAAAACCUGGAGAAAUGAACCGAUGUACCAUUUUACUGCUUUUCAUUUUUUUCCUGAAGUUUCGAGAUUUUAUGCAGAAUUUUUGUCAGAUUGUAGGAACUUCUUAUUCAAAAUAAGCAGGUACCUGUAAUGCCCAUCAUGUUCCUAGAAGGUAUAUACCAAGAUAGACUUCGAGGCUUACUACCAAACUUUCUUAUAUAUGGCCAAAGAAAUUAAAAUUCAGACGCCCUGAAAUUUUAGUCGUUGCAGAAUCUCAAUCUCGGAUGUUCCACAGUUAAAUUUUCUGGGACAAAUAUAAUAAAUGGAUAUUUUGAAGAGGUUUAAAAAUAGAAAGGCUUGCAAUUAUGUUGUGGACUUAUAAAAUACUGAAGUAUA
Long non-coding RNA from Acanthaster planci (crown-of-thorns starfish), 1451 nucleotides. The record is from RefSeq and is a predicted model, not a curated record. NCBI's taxonomy places the organism in Eukaryota, Metazoa, Echinodermata, Asteroidea, Valvatida, Acanthasteridae.